RNAcentral lists this long non-coding RNA (926 nucleotides) under Pavo cristatus (Indian peafowl). RNAcentral describes it as "lncRNA (ENSPSTG00000001984.1)". Lineage: Eukaryota; Metazoa; Chordata; Aves; Galliformes; Phasianidae. The record is from RNAcentral.
AUUGCUGGGCUGCAUCUGCCACCUCCCGGCGGAUCGUGCUGCUGAGAUCCAACCCCUUCAGCUGAGACCUCCCUGCUAAGUCGAUUUGCAGAAGGAGCUCAGAUUGAAGUCAGUGAGUCGGCCUGGUUUAAUGCUGGCAGCAAGAGGGCUGUGACAUCAGAAGUGAGCAGACUGGGAGUGGAGAGGAGUUUCACCUGUCAGACUCGUUCCCCAUGCCUCAUUAAGGCCCCGUGCUGCUCAGCUUGCCUCUGUGCUGCGUUACAUCGACUCAGAGCUUCUCAAGCCACAGUGUGCCUCUCUGCUGCUCCGACAGAGCGCAUCACCACCAGCAGCUCCGAAAAGUAAGUACGUACCUGGGAACAUUACUUAGCAACAUCACUGGUAGAUCCAUUUGGUAGCACGGAUGUAUGCUUGUCUGUUAUCUGUUCAACAAAUCAAGAGACUAAGUAUUAUGCAGUCUGAUAUAUAAACAAAUUAUCUGUGCCAAAUAGCUAUAAGAAACUCAGCUUUUGUGUGAGGUGUUUGGUGUAACUUCCUGACAGAAUCUGGUUCACCACUGACAUCUCAUGUGGCCCUUAAAAUUUCACCUUGGCUGGGUAAAAGCAAACUUCCAGCAAGUCCCACCUGUUGGCUAGAUAAAUCUGUGCAACCCAAGACGUUCUUGUAAUAGAAUGAAAUCUGCAAAUUCUGUAACUAUACAGAUCCCACAUUUGUGUUCCUAUUUGUAUAAUCCUAUAAAAGUUGCCCAAGUUCUGAUUCAGUAACGACACGUGUUUGUGUGCCAAUUUAAUGCUCAUAAAAGUGCUGGCUUAAACAUCCAGGCGAAUGAACUCCUCUGUCCCUAGACAGUAGAUAGUUCCCCCAAAGGCUCUGCAGGAGCUUCUGUAUGAGUAAAGUUUGAACUAGAAAUAAUAAGGGCAAACCAC